CCUACGGGUGGCAGCAGUGAGGAAUAUUGGUCAAUGGACGAGAGUCUGAACCAGCCAAGUAGCGUGAAGGAUGACUGCCCUAUGGGUUGUAAACUUCUUUUAUAUGGGAAUAAAACGUUCCACGUGUGGGAUUUUGUAUGUACCAUAUGAAUAAGGAUCGGCUCACUCCGUGCCAGCUGCCGCGGUAAUACGGAGGGUCCGAGCGUUAUCCGGAUUUAUUGGGUUUAAGGGGAGCGUAGGUGGAUUGUUAAGUCAGUUGUGAAAGUUUGCGGCUCAACCGUAAAAUUGCAGUUGAUACUGGCAGUCUUGAGUACAGUAGAGGUGGGAGGAAUGCGUGGUGUAGCGGUGAAAUGCUUAGAUAUCACGAAGAACUCCGAUUGCGAAGGCAGUUCACUGGACUGCAACUGACACUGAGGCUCGAAAGUGUGGGUAUCAAACAGGAUUUGAUACCCCUGUAGUC
RNAcentral lists this ribosomal RNA (460 nucleotides) under uncultured bacterium. RNAcentral's name for it is "partial 16S ribosomal RNA". It matches the Rfam family "Bacterial small subunit ribosomal RNA", at positions 338 to 795 of the family's 1533-position model. The record is from RNAcentral.